Hemibagrus wyckioides is the source of this 2994-nucleotide long non-coding RNA. RefSeq lists it as uncharacterized. The record is from RefSeq and is a predicted model, not a curated record. Lineage: Eukaryota; Metazoa; Chordata; Actinopteri; Siluriformes; Bagridae. The transcript has 3 exons.
CCACAAGCCGCGCGACUUCCGGUGUUCAAAUGAAAAAUAAAUAAAUAAAUAAAUAAAUAAAUAAAUAAAUAAAUGAAACACACGCACACACACACACACACGCUGAGCGGCGACGCGCCUCCUAAAGCGCACCGCAGACACCACUACACCAGACCGGACCGGACCGGACCGGACGGAACAGAGGGAGCCAAAACUUUUGGAAAUCUUACUGUCUCGAGUGACCUUGCCACGCAUUUUCUCUAGCUGCUACAGAAAAACCCCUGCAAACUUUCCAAAGAACCAGUGAAGUGAAUAAGACUGAUGAUCUCCUCAUCAUGGCACCUGUUAGUGGGUGACAGCAAGUGAACAUUUUGUCAUUUUGAGCAUCUCCAAAACUGCAGCUCUUGUGGGGUGUUCCCGGUCUGCAGUGGUCAGUAUCUAUCAAAAGUGGUCCAAGGAAGGAACAGUGGUGAACCGGGGACAGGGUCAUGGGUGGUCAAGGCUCAUUGAUGCAUCUGGGGAGUGAAGGCUGGCCCGUGUGAUCCGAUCCAAACAGACGAGCUACUGUUGCUCAAAUUGCUGAAGAAGUUAAUGAUGGUUCUGAUAGAAAGGGGUCAGAAUACACAGCAAAAAGGGGACCAACACAAUAUUAGGCAGGUGGUCAUAAUGUUAUGCCUGAUCGGCGUAAAGACAUUUCAUAGACGAAGCUUAUGAUCUAAUGUCUUAAUUGAUCAUCACAAAACUAGAUGAAGUUUCUCCUGUCACUUUUUUGCCUCUACCAGUGGUAAUAUAAAACCCUUCUAAACACACACACAGCACUUUUGACCAAUACACCGGUGGAACAGAACUGGACUUAUGAGACAUUUUCAAUCAGUAUAAUGAUUAGUAAUGAAUGAUGUUCAGGCUGUGAGUCUGAUCUAAAACGAGUCUGUCGGCUUUCAGUGUGCUUUAGUCGUGUGUUUUUCCCUCUGUUGGAGAACCUUACACAGAAUUUUACUGGUUGAAGAAGAAAUCUGAGCUGCUUUUUAGAUGAACAAGCACUUGGAGAACAUCUCAGAGAGCAGAAACGGGUUUGAGAUCAACAUUUACUCUGAAGAUACAAACAUUUCUGUGGAAAAAAAACUUUGCUUAUUUGGAACUUUUCCAUGAAUAUAUCGCCUCUAGUAGGUUAGAUAAAACAGAAAUACUUACGAAACUCUACAAAUUCUUAAAGCUCAGAGUGUCUGCUUUCAUAUCAGCUUCAUAUUAACCUCCUCUGUGGAGUGAGACGUGAUAAAGACACUUGAACAUCAACAUGGACACAACAACAACAGGAGGAGGAAACUCCAUUUUUAUUGUUUUAAGACGCUUUAGUUUGGUAGCGGUUCUGAAUAUCGUGGUGUCAUGGGCUUCAGGAUAUUUCUGUCACAUGCCCUGCCUCUAAUUCCCCUUCGUUAACUUUCACUUAUCCUUCAGCUUGAAUAAAUAUGAACACAACCUCACACCCUUUGAUCCGCUAAUAUCUUUGCUCAUUAUCGCGGCCCGGGCGCUAGCACCGGCGCUACCAAUUAGCCGUAAACACACGGCUAUACGUCGCCAUCUUCGCUGCAACCGGCCCACCGUUAGCGCUGGAAGGUUUUUGGAAGCAGCGCAGGCCCCAGGCUUAUCUCCACCCGGCACAAUGUAUGGGGUAAAGGGGGAGAAAAAGAUGGCUCAUUAAGGGAAUAAAGCUCUCGGCUGUCGUUAAGGCCCGCUGUAAUGUCGCCGGGCUGUUGACUGCAUUGUGUGUGACGGCUGCAAACAUGCUUCAACCUCAAUGGGAAAAAAGCAGCAUGAAUGCAGAUGGCAGAUUGGUCCAAUUGGCAAGAAGUCUGUGAGAAAGUGUGUUAAGCGAGCGAGCGUGUGUGUGAGUGUGUGUGUGAGUGUGUGAGUGUAUUGUAUGUUCAUCUGUACAUCACAUGUGUCGAUUAGAGGAGGACAGAAUGCACAUGUGUAUCAUACUGAAUGUGUGUGUGUGUGUAUGUGUGUGUGAGAGAGAGAGAGAGAGAGAGAGAGAGAGUACUGUGAGCACUGGGGGACAACUUGGUCUGUGUGUGUGUGUGUGUGUGUGUGCUAGGAGGAGGGGGGUAAGACUAGGGUGCUAAUUUGGAGGAAUUAAAGAGCACGACACAGGGCACUUUGUGGAAGCAGGCUCUGGGUCUAAUCUACCCUAUGCCUGAUCUCACACUCACACUCACACACACACACACACUCACACACACACAGCUGAGAGUGAGCAGCAUGCCACAUCACCCCCAGGCAAUAUGGAAAUACAUACUCUCUCUCUCUCUCUCUCUCUCUCUCUCUCACACACACACACACACACACAUUCACUAGGGAUAUUAACCAAAGUGAGCUACCUCUGUGAUUCAGAGGUGCAAAAAUCUGUGGUCUGUUAAACUUCAUACAUAACCUUGAGCACACACACACACACAAAUCCCAAGUUGUCCCCCUGUGCUUUAUAUAUUCGCACAUAUUUACAUUAAUGGGAUCAUAACUCAACUAUUUCAUCUCCCGAAUCCUUCUUAUAAACAUGUUAGCGUUUCCAUAGCAACAGUGGGAAUGAAGUGAAUGGAUGGUUUAUGGAAGGAGUCUCCAGUGUCAGUAAAGUCUUUUUCCAGCGGCUCACCAGAACAGAGGAGUUUACACUGCGGGGGGUUUCCGUCACAUGACAAGAUCAUUUUGAUCCCUCUCAGUCUCACACACACACACACACACACAUGAGAUAGAAUUCUGAGUAACGUGACACACACAUGCAAAUAAAAGACUAUAUAUGGGAUAUGUAUACAGACACACACACAAACACACACACACACACACACACACACACUAUAUGUAGUUUGUAUGGAGUGUAGGACUAACACACAGAGCUGCAGUUGUGUGUUUCUGCUCUCUCUCUCUCUCUCUCUCUGACCCCCCCCCUCUCUCUCUCACUCUCUGACCCUCUCUCUCUCUCUCUCUCUGACCCCCCCUUUCUCUCUCUCUCUCUCACUCUCU